UCGGCGGCCUCUCUGGAUGCAAAACUUCCU
RNAcentral lists this non-coding RNA (30 nucleotides) under Homo sapiens (human). The record is from RNAcentral. Lineage: Eukaryota; Metazoa; Chordata; Mammalia; Primates; Hominidae.